AGGUUUCCKUAGGUGAACCUGCGGAAGGAUCAUUGUCNAUGCCCNANAGGAAGAAUGCGAACUUGUGAUCGCGCCCUUCGGGAGCGGAGGCGGCGGCGGCCGCNUCNCACGCCCUCGCUCCCCUGGGCCCCCCUGCUGCCCCCGUCCCGGUUUCUGCCGGGACGGGCGGUGGGAACACGACCCCGGCGCGGUUUGCGCCAAGGAACAGUUUUUGACGGAGAGCUCCGCGUGCCUCGCGGCGCGCGGUGCGAUCCCGCUAGCGUGAGAACCUGCAUGACUCUCGGCAACGGAUAUCUUGGCUCUCGCAUCGAUGAAGGACGUAGCAAAAUGCGAUACUUGGUGUGAAUUGCAGAAUCCCGCGAAUCAUCGAGUUUUUGAACGCAAGUUGCGCCCGAGGCCAUCCGGCCGAGGGCACGCCUGCCUGGGCGUCACGCCUCGCGUCACUUCGUGCACCAUGCCUGCCCCGCUCCUGGCGGGCGGCCUUCGUGCAGGGACGUGGAGAUUGGCCCUUCGUGUCCUCUGCGGCGCGACGGGUUGAAGUGCUGGCUCUGCCGCCGGUUCUGGACGCGGCGAGUGGUGGACGGAGUUCACGCACUGCGCCUUUUGCCGCGGACCGUAGUGGCCGGCCUUCGUGGAGCGGUGGAAGGAACCCAAGCCGAUGGCGCGCGAUCGCGGCCUCGGACCAUGACCCCAGGUCAGGCGGGAACACCCGCUGAGC
RNAcentral lists this small RNA (718 nucleotides) under Tulbaghia simmleri. Its description in RNAcentral is "eukaryotic LSU rRNA". The stretch from base 276 to 431 matches the Rfam family "5.8S ribosomal RNA". Lineage: Eukaryota; Viridiplantae; Streptophyta; Magnoliopsida; Asparagales; Amaryllidaceae. The record is from RNAcentral.